UGUCCUACGGGGGGCAGCAGCAGUGAGGAAUAUUGGUCAAUGGUCGGGAGACUGAACCAGCCAAGCCGCGUGAGGGAGGAAGGUACAGAGUAUCGUAAACCUCUUUUGUCAGGGAACAAAGGCGGGGACGUGUCCCCGGAUGAGUGUACCUGAAGAAAAAGCAUCGGCUACCUCCGUGCCAGCAGCCGCGGUAAUACGGAGGAUGCGAGCGCUAUCCGGAUUUAUUGGGUUUAAAGGGUGCGCAGGCGGUCUGUUAAGUCAGCGGUCAAAGCUCG
This 275-nucleotide ribosomal RNA is filed under the name uncultured bacterium. RNAcentral's name for it is "partial 16S ribosomal RNA". It matches the Rfam family "Bacterial small subunit ribosomal RNA", at positions 335 to 604 of the family's 1533-position model. The record is from RNAcentral.